This is a long non-coding RNA of Aedes aegypti (yellow fever mosquito), 765 nucleotides long. RefSeq lists it as uncharacterized. The record is from RefSeq and is a predicted model, not a curated record. The transcript has 3 exons. NCBI's taxonomy places the organism in Eukaryota, Metazoa, Arthropoda, Insecta, Diptera, Culicidae.
AUAAACAUAUACAUAGUUAAUUAUUGUUGAAUAAUGGCGAGGGGGGCGACACAUCCAGAUUAUCUCAGUUUUUUACUAAUCCCACAAUUUUUUCGUACAGUGCAUUCUUACUUUCCAUCCAGUCCCAUCCUCACUAUCUGUUCCCAUCUCUUCCAUCUGCCUUUGCAUCUUAAAUCUUUUUUCGUACUACUCGCAUCUCUUUUCAAUCUAACCUGAUUGACAUAAACAAAACAAGCGAUUUGUUUUGUUUUUAGCAGCGCUCCUAACUUACAGAUUUCAGUUGCGCACCAGUAAAGUGUACUUAAAAAUUCUUGUGGCCGUACAAAAAUGUGUAAUUGUUAGUCUUUUGAAACUUGCGAAAACCGGAGCCGUGCGAUGAUUACCAUAUACUUUCAUGCUGCUGACUACCGCCGGAAUCAAUCAUCUCCGGAUCGAUUUGUGUGAAGCAUUCGGUGUUGCAGCUAUUCACCCGCGGUACCAAAGAAACUACCGAUUUCCGAAUGCAAGCCAGUUGCCGGGACUAGCAAUUCUGUUCGAUUGAGCCACCGAGCGAAAUGCACCAGCAGAAAUAUGACGGAUAAAGAACAGGAUAGUAUUCCCGAAGAAGUGCAGCUUUUCAAGAUGAUACUCUGUGGUGCGCAUCACACAACUCCCCACAGUUGGAGAACAUCAUGGAGUGAUCAGAACUUUCCCGUUGCGUAAUAGGUAUCUAGCCUGAAACGAGCAAAACCAAAAGUAUAAACAGCUGAUUGUCACUAAACAGUA